GCUGGGCAGAGUGGUGCAUGCCUGUAAUCCCAGCAGCCAGGGAGGCUGAGGCAGGAGGAUCGCAAGGUCAAAGUCAGCCUCAGCAACUUGGCAAGGCCCUAAGCAAUUUAGCGAUACUCUGUUUUAA
Molecule: small RNA, 127 nt
Filed under: Marmota monax (woodchuck)
Lineage: Eukaryota; Metazoa; Chordata; Mammalia; Rodentia; Sciuridae
Source: RNAcentral